Long non-coding RNA from Mytilus californianus (California mussel), 521 nucleotides. RefSeq lists it as uncharacterized. Lineage: Eukaryota; Metazoa; Mollusca; Bivalvia; Mytilida; Mytilidae. The record is from RefSeq and is a predicted model, not a curated record. The transcript has 4 exons.
ACAAAAGUGUGUAGAUGUGCUCGAAAUAUACCGACAGACAUAGCAGCAAUUCAAGACUGUGCAAACAAGACAUUUUCAAAUGCGUAUUUCUUCUAUCAAGAGUAUCUAGGACAUGUAUCAGCAGGACAAGGAGGACACUGUACAACCUUAAAAUGCAUGUCAGGAAAAAAUAAUCUGAUAGCCCUUGACUGUUCAUCAACAAUUCCAGCGGGACGAUGUGGAAAUGAAGAGAUUGUAUGGACAAAGCCGUAUUUAAAAAGCUGUAAUUAUUGCAUCAAGGACCAAAACUCAUUGUUAUUAGAACCUUCAACAUACUGUUCGAAAAAUUGGGACCAAGGAACUAUAUCUUGGACAAACGUUUUCCGUAAUGUCUGUCAUUGUCAGCUUUCGAAAGCGGAAGUUGGGAACGAAAUUCCACUGCAAUGUUUAGCAGGUCAAUUAGUGAAUCAUGAUGGUGAAUGGAAGCUGAACGAAACUAAAAGGGAUUGUUCUAAAGGAUUACAUUGGUAUUUGUGUAAGAA